RNAcentral lists this ribosomal RNA (495 nucleotides) under uncultured bacterium. RNAcentral describes it as "partial 16S ribosomal RNA". It matches the Rfam family "Bacterial small subunit ribosomal RNA", at positions 30 to 507 of the family's 1533-position model. The record is from RNAcentral.
UGACCGCUGGCGGCGUGCCUAAUACAUGCAAGUCGAGCGAACAGACGAGGAGCUUGCUCCUCUGACGUUAGCGGCGGACGGGUGAGUAACACGUGGAUAACCUACCUAUAAGACUGGGAUAACUUCGGGAAACCGGAGCUAAUACCGGAUAAUAUAUUGAACCGCAUGGUUCAAUAGUGAAAGACGGUUUUGCUGUCACUUAUAGAUGGAUCCGCGCCGCAUUAGCUAGUUGGUAAGGUAACGGCUUACCAAGGCAACGAUGCGUAGCCGACCUGAGAGGGUGAUCGGCCACACUGGAACUGAGACACGGUCCAGACUCCUACGGGAGGCAGCAGUAGGGAAUCUUCCGCAAUGGGCGAAAGCUUGACGGAGCAACGCCGCGUGAGUGAUGAAGGUCUUCGGAUCGUAAAACUCCGUUAUUAGGGAAGAACAAAUGUGUAAGUAACUAUGCACGUCUUGACGGUACCUAAUCAGAAAGCCACGGCUAACUACGUG